This 624-nucleotide ribosomal RNA is filed under the name Allobaccha sp. 2 XM-2015. Its description in RNAcentral is "SSU rRNA". It matches the Rfam family "Eukaryotic small subunit ribosomal RNA", at positions 385 to 950 of the family's 1831-position model. Lineage: Eukaryota; Metazoa; Arthropoda; Insecta; Diptera; Syrphidae. The record is from RNAcentral.
UCGGAGAGGGAGCCUGAGAAACGGCUACCACAUCUAAGGAAGGCAGCAGGCGCGUAAAUUACCCACUCCCAGUUCGGGGAGGUAGUGACGAAAAAUAACAAUACAGGACUCAUAUCCGAGGCCCUGUAAUUGGAAUGAGUACACUUUAAAUCCUUUAACAAGGACCAAUUGGAGGGCAAGUCUGGUGCCAGCAGCCGCGGUAAUUCCAGCUCCAAUAGCGUAUAUUAAAGUUGUUGCGGUUAAAACGUUCGUAGUUGAAUUUGUGCUUCAUACGGGUAGUACAACUACAAUUGUGGAUUGUACAUUACCUUAUGUAUGCAAGCGUAUUAUCGGUGGAGUUCUAAUAUAUAAUGGUACUUGUAUCAUUAUAUAUACCUCCUAUUUAAACCUGCUUCAGUGCUCUUCAUCGAGUGCUGUUGUGGGCCGAUACAAUUACUUUGAACAAAUUAGAGUGCUUAAAGCAGGCUCCAAAUGCCUGAAUAUUCUGUGCAUGGAAUAAUGAAAUAAGACUUCUGAUCUACUUUCAUUGGUUUUUAGAUCAAGAGGUAAUGAUUAAUAGAAGCAGUUUGGGGACAUUAKUAUUACGACGCGAGAGGUGAAAUUCUUGGACCGUCGUAAGACUAA